CAAUUCUCCUGCCUCAGCCUCCUGAGUAGCUGGGAUUACAGCUGGAUCUACCAUGAAAGACUUCUGAAUCCAGGAAAAGAGACUGACUGGGUAACAUGUUAUUCAGGAGAUGGGGUCUCACCCUGUCACCCAGGCUUGAGUACAGUAGUGCUAUCACAGCUCACUGCAGCCUUGAACUCCUGGGCUAAGGAUCCUCCUACUUGAGCCUCCUGAGUAGCUGGGACUGUAGGGUCUCCCUCUCUUUUCCAAGGCUGGAGUGUAGUAGUGCUAUCACAGCUGACUGCAGCCUCAACCUUCCAGGCUGAAGCGAUCCUCCCAUCUCAACCUCCCACGUGGCUGAGACUAUAGGUGCUUGCCACUAUGCCCAACUAAUAUUUGGAAUUUUCCUAUACAUGGAUUCCAGAGGGGUGACAGCAAAACGUGGGACCAUCCAGUUGCAGGAAAACAAGCUUAACACGCCCACUGAUUCUACA
RNAcentral lists this long non-coding RNA (473 nucleotides) under Homo sapiens (human). RNAcentral's name for it is "HSALNT0340923". The record is from RNAcentral. Lineage: Eukaryota; Metazoa; Chordata; Mammalia; Primates; Hominidae.